ACUCUUCAACCCAUCAGUUUCUUGUAGACUGACUGGAGCUUGGAUUUUGAACGCUGCUGGUCUUCGGAUCCUAGCUCGUUCGUAAUACAUUAGCAACUCUAAUUCGAAUUCGGAUUGACUCAGUGUAAUAGACUAUUCGCUGAGGACACUUGCUUGCAAGUGGCCGAACUAUUGAUACUUGAGCCGCUUCCAACUAUUGUAGUCAACUUUAG
This 212-nucleotide unclassified non-coding RNA is filed under the name uncultured Rhodotorula. Its description in RNAcentral is "sequence contains ITS2". The record is from RNAcentral. Lineage: Eukaryota; Fungi; Basidiomycota.